UGAGGAAUAUUGGUCAAUGGGCGCAAGCCUGAACCAGCCAUCCCGCGUGAAGGAAGAAUGCGCUAUGCGUUGUAAACUUCUUUUCCGGAGGAAUAAAAUCUUGUACGUGUACAGGACUGAAGGUACUCCGGGAAUAAGCAUCGGCUAACUCCGUGCCAGCAGCCGCGGUAAUACGGAGGAUGCGAGCGUUAUCCGGAUUUAUUGGGUUUAAAGGGUGCGUAGGCGGAUUAAUAAGUCAGUGGUGAAAACCUUCAGCUUAACUGGAGACUUGCCAUUGAUACUGUUAGUCUUGAGUGUGGUUAAGGUAGGCGGAAUGUGUAAUGUAGCGGUGAAAUGCUUAGAUAUUACACAGAACACCGAUUGCGAAGGCAGCUUACUGAGCCAUAACUGACGCUGAUGCACGAAAGCGUGGGGAGCGAACA
This 422-nucleotide ribosomal RNA is filed under the name uncultured prokaryote. Its description in RNAcentral is "bacterial SSU rRNA". It matches the Rfam family "Bacterial small subunit ribosomal RNA", at positions 355 to 774 of the family's 1533-position model. The record is from RNAcentral.